GCGGGUAUGGCGGAAUUGGCAGACGCGCAGGAUUUAGGUUCCUGUGUCCUUGACGUAAGGGUUCGAGCCCCUUUACCCGCACCA
This 84-nucleotide transfer RNA is filed under the name Oscillospiraceae bacterium. RNAcentral's name for it is "tRNA-Leu". It matches the Rfam family "tRNA". Rfam says of the family: Transfer RNA (tRNA) molecules are approximately 80 nucleotides in length. The record is from RNAcentral. Lineage: Bacteria; Bacillati; Bacillota; Clostridia; Eubacteriales; Oscillospiraceae.